This is a long non-coding RNA of Dicentrarchus labrax (European seabass), 212 nucleotides long. RefSeq lists it as uncharacterized. NCBI's taxonomy places the organism in Eukaryota, Metazoa, Chordata, Actinopteri, Moronidae. The record is from RefSeq and is a predicted model, not a curated record. The transcript is spliced from 3 exons.
GCAGGUGGGGACACAGCUGACUGAGAGGAGCUGGUCAGACUGCUUCUGCUCUGUGGCUGACAUUCCUCACCGCAGCUACAAGGAAGGCCUUGCAAAGGAAACCACCCUGACUGCGCUGUGGGCCACAAACAGGAUCAAGACUGAAGAGAACUGAACUGAAGGGUCCUUUUACCUAAGUGAGAUGCUGGGGUGAGGAAGUUUCCAGGAUGGUG